Molecule: ribosomal RNA, 468 nt
Filed under: uncultured bacterium
Lineage: Bacteria
Description: partial 16S ribosomal RNA
Rfam family: Bacterial small subunit ribosomal RNA
Source: RNAcentral
GACGAACGCUGGCGGCGUGCUUAACACAUGCAAGUCGAACGGAAAGGCCCUGCUUUUGUGGGGUGCUCGAGUGGCGAAGGGGUGUGUAACACGUGAGUAACCUGCCCUUGUCUUUGGGGUAACUUUAGGAAAAUGGGGCUAAUACCGGAUAGGAGAUCCUGCUGCAUGGUGGGGGUUGGUAAGUUUCGGCGGUUGGGGCUGGAUUCGCGGCUUACGAGCUUGUUUGGGAGGUUGUGGCUUACCAAGGGUUCGAAGGGUAGCCGACCUGAGAGGGUGACCGGCCACAUUAGGACUACGGUACGGACCAGACUCCUACGGUAGGCAGCAGUGGAGAAUAUUGCACAAUGGGCGGGAGCCUGAUGCAACAACGCCGCGUGCGUGAAAACGUCCUUCGGGUUGUAAACCACUUUCGCCUGUAACGAAGCGUGAGUGACGGUAAUGAGUAAAGAAGCACCGGCUAACUACGUG